GACGAACGCUGGCGGCGCGCCUAACACAUGCAAGUCGAACGAGAGAGAGGGAGCUUGCUUCCUCAAUCGAGUGGCGAACGGGUGAGUAACGCGUGAGGAACCUGCCUCAAAGAGGGGGACAACAGUUGGAAACGACUGCUAAUACCGCAUAAGCCCACGGGUCGGCAUCGACCAGAGGGAAAAGGAGCAAUCCGCUCUGAGAUGGCCUCGCGUCCGAUUAGCUAGUUGGUGAGGUAACGGCCCACCAAGGCAACGAUCGGUAGCCGGACUGAGAGGUUGAACGGCCACAUUGGGACUGAGACACGGCCCAGACUCCUACGGGAGGCAGCAGUGGGGAAUAUUGCACAAUGGGGGAAACCCUGAUGCAGCGACGCCGCGUGGAGGAAGAAGGUCUUCGGAUUGUAAACUCCUGUUGUUGAGGAAGAUAAUGACGGUACUCAACAAGGAAGUGACGGCUAACUACGUGCCAGCAGCCGCGGUAAAACGUAGGUCACAAGCGUUGUCCGGAAUUACUGGGUGUAAAGGGAGCGCAGGCGGGAAGACAAGUUGGAAGUGAAAUCCAUGGGCUCAACCCAUGAACUGCUUUCAAAACUGUUUUUCUUGAGUAGUGCAGAGGUAGGCGGAAUUCCCGGGGUAGCGGUGGAAUGCGUAAAUAUCGGGGAGGAACACCAGUGGCGAAGGCGGCCUACUGGGGCACCAACUGACGCUGAGGCUCGGAAGUGGGGGGAGCAAACAGGAUUAAAUACCCUGGUAGCCCCAACCCGUAAACGAUGAUUAUUAGGUGUUGGAGGAGUGACCCCCUCAGUGCCGCAGUUAACACAAUAAGUAAUCCACCUGGGGAGUACGACCGCAAGGUUGAAACUCAAAGGAAUUGACGGGGGCCCGCACAAGCAGUGGAGUAUGUGGUUUAAUUUGACGCAACGCGAAGAACCUUACCAAGUCUUGACAUCCCUUGACGAUGCUGGAAACAGUAUUUCUUUUUGGAGCAAGGAGACAGGUGGUGCAUGGUUGUCGUCAGCUCGUGUCGUGAGAUGUUGGGUUAAGUCCCGCAACGAGCGCAACCCUUCUGGUCAGUUAUUACGCAAGAGGACUCUGGCCAGACUGCCGUUGACAAAACGGAGGAAGGUGGGGAGGACGUCAAAUCAUCAUGCCCUUUAUGACUUGGGCUACACACGUACUACAAUGGCGUUAAACAAAGAGAAGCAAGACCGCGAGGGGGAGCAAAACUCAGAAACAACGUCCCAGUUCGGACUGCAGGCUGCAACUCGCCUGCACGAAGUCGGAAUUGCUAGUAAUCGUGGAUCAGCAUGCCACGGUGAAUACGUUCCCGGGCCUUGCAC
This 1340-nucleotide ribosomal RNA is filed under the name synthetic construct. RNAcentral's name for it is "bacterial SSU rRNA". It matches the Rfam family "Bacterial small subunit ribosomal RNA", at positions 28 to 1386 of the family's 1533-position model. The record is from RNAcentral. RNAcentral also lists the same sequence under 1 other name.